AGACGCAGAGAACUGAAACAUCUUAGUACCUGCAGGAAGAGAAAGAAAAUUCGAUUCCCUGAGUAGCGGCGAGCGAAACGGGAAGAGCCCAAACCAACAAGCUUGCUUGUUGGGGUUGUAGGACUCCGAUAUGGUAGUCUGUUAGUAUAGUUGAAGGAUUUGGAAAAUUCCGCUAAAGAGGGUGAAAGCCCCGUAGACGAAAUGCUGACAACACCUAGGAGGAUCCUGAGUACGGCGGAACACGAGAAAUUCCGU
This 255-nucleotide ribosomal RNA is filed under the name Enterococcus faecalis. RNAcentral describes it as "partial 23S ribosomal RNA". It matches the Rfam family "Bacterial large subunit ribosomal RNA", at positions 181 to 437 of the family's 2925-position model. The record is from RNAcentral. Lineage: Bacteria; Bacillati; Bacillota; Bacilli; Lactobacillales; Enterococcaceae.